RNAcentral lists this ribosomal RNA (451 nucleotides) under uncultured Fibrobacter sp. Its description in RNAcentral is "partial 16S ribosomal RNA". It matches the Rfam family "Bacterial small subunit ribosomal RNA", at positions 341 to 792 of the family's 1533-position model. The record is from RNAcentral. Lineage: Bacteria; Pseudomonadati; Fibrobacterota; Fibrobacteria; Fibrobacterales; Fibrobacteraceae.
ACGGGAGGCAGCAGUAGGGAAUAUUGCACAAUGGGGGGAACCCUGAUGCAGCAACGCCACGUGUGGGAAGAAGCAUUUCGGUGUGUAAACCACUGUCGUGAGGGAAUAAUGCUCGGUCUCGGCCGAGUUGAAUGUACCUCGAAAGGAAGCACCGGCAAACUUCGUGCCAGCAGCCGCGGUAAUACGAGGGGUGCAAGCGUUGUUCGGAAUCACUGGGCGUAAAGGGCAUGUAGGCGGUCUGUCAAGCCAGGCGUGAAAGCCAGGGGCUCAACCCCUGAACUGCGCUUGGAACUGGCGGACUGGAGUCGCUGAGGGGGAACCGGAAUUCCUGGUGUAGGGGUGAAAUCUGUAGAUAUCAGGAAGAACACCGAUGGCGAAGGCAGGUUUCCAGCAGACGACUGACGCUGAGGUGCGAAGGUGCGGGGAGCAAACAGGAUUAGAUACCCUGGUA